AGUCGAGUGAUGUUGCGCGGAAAAUUCAACGGGGCUAAGCAUACAACCGAAGCUUGGGCAGUAGAAAUACUGGGUAGGGGAGCGUUCUGUACGGGCAGAAGCAUCAGCGGAAGCAGAUGUGGACUGUACAGAAGUGAGAAUGCCGGAAUGAGUAGCGAGAAUUGUGUGAGAAUCAUAAUGGCCGAAAAUCUAAGGUUUCCGGGGGUAGGGUCGUCCACCCCGGGUUAGCCGGGAGCUAAGGCGAGGCCGCGAGGCGUAGUCGAUGCACAAACGGUAGAGAUUCCGUUGCCGCCAGAUCUUAAGUAACUGACACGAGGGUAGAGUUCAACCCGGCCGAUGGUAGAGCCGGGCGAAAGGGACUGAAGAAUAGUAGGGAAGUGAACGAAGCCAGCGGCGAGAAAAGGUUAUGUAUGAAAUCAGGCGCCCGUACCGCAAACCGACACAGGUAGAUGAGGAGAGGAUCCUAAGGCCAGCGGGAGAAGGGUUGUUAAGGAACUCGGCAUAUUGACCCCGUAACUUCGGAAGAAGGGGUGCCUCCGUAAGGAGGCCGCAGUGAAAAGGCCCAGGCAACUGUUUAUCAAAAACACAGGUUUCUGCAAAAGCGAAAGCUGAAGUAUAGGAGCUGACGCCUGCCCGGUGCUGGAAGGUCAAGGGGAUCGCUUAGCGCAAGCGAAGGCGAGAACUUAAGCCCCAGUAAACGGCGGCCGUAACUAUAACGGUCCUAAGGUAGCGAAAUUCCUUGCCAGGUAAGUUCUGGCCUGCACGAAUGGCGUAAUGAUCUGGGCACUGUCUCAACAGCCCGCCCGGCGAAAUUGUAGUACCGGUGAAGAUGCCGGUUUCCUGCGACUAGACGGAAAGACCCCAUGGAGCUUUACUGUAGUCUGAUACUGAAAUUUGGUUCAUUAUGCACAGGAUAGGUGGGAGACAGAGAAACCCGGGCUUUGGCUUGGGCGGAGUCGCCGUUGGGAUACCACUCUUGAUGAACCAAGUUUCUAACCUGCUCCCGUGAUCCGGGAGGGGGACAAUGUCAGAUGGGCAGUUUGACUGGGGCGGUCGCCUCCAAAAGAGUAACGGAGGCGUUCAAAGGUUGGCUCAGCGCGGACGGAAAUCGCGCAAUGAGUAUAAACGUAUAAGCCAGCCUAACUGUGAGACCUACAAGUCGAGCAGUAACGAAAGUUGGAGUUAGUGA
RNAcentral lists this ribosomal RNA (1189 nucleotides) under human gut metagenome. Its description in RNAcentral is "bacterial LSU rRNA". It matches the Rfam family "Bacterial large subunit ribosomal RNA", at positions 1147 to 2418 of the family's 2925-position model. The record is from RNAcentral.